GACGAACGCUGGCGGCGUGCCUAAUACAUGCAAGUCGAACGCAGUGGGGACGGGUGCGUAACACGUGGGUAACCUCCCAUCAGAGGGGAUAACACUUGGAAACAGGUGCUAAACCGAUACUGAUGGAUGGACUCGCGGUGCAUUAGCCAGUUGGUGAGGUAACGGCUCACCAAGGCUACGAUGCAUAGCCGGCCUGAGAGGAUGACCGGCCACACUGGAACUGAGACACGGCCCAGACGCCUACGGGAGGCAGCAGUAGGGAAUAUUCGACAAUGGGCGAAAGUCUGACCGAGCAACGCCGCGUGAGUGAAGAAGGUUUUCGGAUCGUAAAGCACUGUUGUUAGAGAAGCGGUAUCUAACCAGAAAGCCACGGCUAACUACGUGCCAGCCGCCGCGGUAAUAC
This 403-nucleotide ribosomal RNA is filed under the name uncultured bacterium. RNAcentral's name for it is "partial 16S ribosomal RNA". It matches the Rfam family "Bacterial small subunit ribosomal RNA", at positions 28 to 526 of the family's 1533-position model. The record is from RNAcentral.